AUAGCGAGGGCAUACGGUCGGUUAAAACGUCCCAUUUCCGUCUUGUGCUGCGCGCCUCUUUCGGGAUCGCGGCACGGGGUGGACAUCAAAGCAUGCGUCGUGUUCCACCUCCUUUGCAAGUGUUGUUGCACAUGCCCGGGUUGUUGGCACAUGGCGUCACGCUCGAUCUCUCGGAUUCGGAAUAUAAAGUGGGUACGAUGAGACAUUAGCCUCUAAUCGCCCCAAAAACAAGUGUUCGACGCUUCGUGCGAACGACUGCUGUCCUCGUUUUGACGGAGUCCUUUGUGGCUUUGCUCAUGCGGGAGCGGCGUCGAUAAGGAUGCUACCUGGUUGAUCCUGCCAGUAGUCAUAUGCUUGUCUCAAAGAUUAAGCCAUGC
RNAcentral lists this unclassified non-coding RNA (377 nucleotides) under Scrophularia arguta. Its description in RNAcentral is "partial external transcribed spacer". The stretch from base 324 to 377 matches the Rfam family "Eukaryotic small subunit ribosomal RNA", at positions 1 to 54 of the family's 1831-position model. Lineage: Eukaryota; Viridiplantae; Streptophyta; Magnoliopsida; Lamiales; Scrophulariaceae. The record is from RNAcentral.